Xiphophorus hellerii (green swordtail) is the source of this 774-nucleotide long non-coding RNA. RefSeq lists it as uncharacterized. The record is from RefSeq and is a predicted model, not a curated record. The transcript has 4 exons. NCBI's taxonomy places the organism in Eukaryota, Metazoa, Chordata, Actinopteri, Cyprinodontiformes, Poeciliidae.
AGCAUAAAUGGUACGCUGCCACUUUAAGAUCAAUUUCAGCUGCUGCAUAUAAGCAGGUCUCUACCUGCCACAUGACUACUUGCGUCAUGACGUCAACUCAUUUUGCUUAGUUUGUUUGCUGAGCUGUGCUGGCCUCCCUUGCUGUGCCUCCAACUCCUGGACCAAUUUGUUCGGUUGUUUGCUGCCGGUAAGCUGUGCUCCGUAGGUGAACUUGUGGAUCUGUUAAUCUGGCCGUGUGGUAAUUUACAGCCUCCUGCCGAGUCCCUGACAACUAUUCUAUUUGGAUGUACACUCGCUGCUGUUUUGCCUACGUUGAAUUGUUUUAAAAGAUUUGUAUGAACUUUCCCCCGCUGCCGGGAGUAUUGAUGGCACCACAAACGGGAUAAAAAAAGCAAUCUUGUAGUGCUAUUGUAUCACUGUUUUACUCGUAUUGUUUCAUUUUUUUGUCUUUCUUUUAGGGACUGAGGCUUCUGUGGUGGCGGUGGUGACCCCUGGUGGCGGUGUCUUGUCUUGUGUGUUUUGUUGGAACACCCCUUUUUGUGUGUGUGUGUUUGCCGUGUCUUUGUAGUGUCCAGGGUGAUCCCUUUUCUUCACUGGAUGUUGCCCCUUUCCUCACUACUCUCCCCCCACUGGUAAGCCUCAGUUUCCUUUGACAUUUAAACAUUUUAUAAUCAACUUUAUUAAAAAUGCAUUCACUGUUUUAACUAUUCGAUUUCAGGUUAUUGUUAAAUUAAACAACCUAUUAAAGUUUAAUAAAUUUUUUGUAGAAUUGUC